GUAGGUGGCAAGUGUUGUCCGGAAUUAUUGGGCGUAAAGCGCGCGCAGGUGGUUCUUUAAGUCUGAUGUGAAAGCCCCCGGCUCAACCGGGGAGGGUCAUUGGAAACUGGGGAACUUGAGUGCAGGAGAGGAAAGUGGAAUUCCACGUGUAGCGGUGAAAUGCGUAGAUAUGUGGAGGAACACCAGUGGCGAAGGCGACUUUCUGGCCUGUAACUGACACUGAGGCGCGAAAGCGUGGGGAGCAAACAGGGAUUAGAUACCCUGGUAGUCCACGCCGUAAACGAUGAGUGCUAAGUGUUGGGGGGGUUUCCCGCCCCUCAGUGCUGCAGCUAACGCAUUAGGCACUCCGCCUGGGGAUACGGUCGCAAGACUG
RNAcentral lists this ribosomal RNA (373 nucleotides) under uncultured organism. RNAcentral's name for it is "partial 16S ribosomal RNA". It matches the Rfam family "Bacterial small subunit ribosomal RNA", at positions 527 to 896 of the family's 1533-position model. The record is from RNAcentral.